RNAcentral lists this long non-coding RNA (520 nucleotides) under Homo sapiens (human). RNAcentral describes it as "HSALNT0211182". Lineage: Eukaryota; Metazoa; Chordata; Mammalia; Primates; Hominidae. The record is from RNAcentral.
GAUACCUCUUGGGCUGUUAAAAGUGUGUGGGAACAGUGUAACCUGAACAAGAACGUAGUGUCUAUAGGAUGAGUGACACUUGGAAGCAGAGGCAGAGUGCUACAUGGACACCUGACUGUACCAAAUGGUUAUUGUGUUUUCUCAAUCAGACGCCAAUUGCGGAAUACCAGCUGAUAUUCUACCCUCAACUCAUGCUAAAAGCUUUCUAGUCUUUCUCAAGGAAACCUGUCCAAAGGGAUAUGUGAUCCCAGGAAUUAUUAUUGUAUAAGUAAUACUUGGAUGUUUUUACUAAUAGUUCACACAUUUCACAGCCCUUUGGUGGAGAGCCUUUUUCGUUAAUGUUCUGUUCAAGAAUAAUUGCAUAGUAUUUAUAAUCCUCUCAGGGAUUAAGUAUAGAUGUAAUACACAACUCAAAGAUGCUUGUUGAUGUUCACUUUGUAAAAAUUCAUCAAGUUGUAUACUUGAUAUUUGUGCACUUUCUGUGUUACAUAUUUUUUAAUUAAAUACUUAUAGAAACUAU